CUGAAUGUUGGCUUGCCAAUUGGUAUUGUAUUGUAGACUUGAGAGUACUGUAUGAAGUCUAUUUGUGCCAAUGGAUUGCCACAUUUUUAUGUUAGUUUUAAGCCAUUUGAAUGAAAUGACUACAAAAUCUCUAUGACAAUCUACGACUAAUCAUUUUGUGCAAAUAAAAAUCAGUACAUGCUUCUCUAUAUAUCUGAAAUACAAUUAAGCAAAAUUUGUUCUUAUAUGUUGGUCUGCCAAUUGGUAUUGGGUACCAUGCAUUAAUGUUUUUCAAAUGCUUAAUCCAAGUGCCACUUCUGUACUCAAUAAGGUGAACUUUUGUUUAAAUAACUAAAUGUUGGUUUGCCGAAGUUUUAUUCUGAUCGAAUUCUGGUACUUACAUUGUAUGUUUACCAACAUUACAUAUGGCCAGGCAAUCAUUUGGGCUAUUUAUGUAGCAAUUCAUCAGACUCAGCAAUCGAGUAAACGCAGUUAAAGAGUAAGGUAUGUAUAUAUUUUUGGCAAUUUAAUUCCUUCUUCCACAUUGUAUGAUGUCAAGUUUCGGACAUAGUUAUAUAUAUGAUUUACUGUUGUAGGUUGUAGUGUUGGCACGAAGAAUCGUAAUACGAAUUUAAUGACUAUCGUGCCUUACUGUCAAGAUGAAUAACGGCCGACUCAGAUAUUCUUUGAAUCCUGAAGAUUUUCUUGGAGACAGGUCAAAAAGCAGAUCCAAAAGAAUUAAAGAAGACACGAGAUAUUAAAAAGAAGACACGAGGCAAAGGAUAAUAACAAAGCUACAUCUCCUUUCUAAAUUGAAAGCGCACUCCAUCUAAGACACCCGUGGCCAUAUCACCUGAUUUUCACACUGCGGAGAAGCCCACUGGGCAAUCUGCUGUCACUCAACUACGAUACACACCAGCUGCGGAAGGUGAUGUUUUUAAGUUCAAUGGUUUGAGUUUAUGAAACAAAUGGUUGCCCAGUUGCUUGUGCUGUUUGCAACACAAGCAUAUAGAGCUAAAAUCAUCAACCACCGGAGAAAGCGAUUUUCUGAGACAUCACCAUCAGAAGAGACUAACUGGAAAAACCAAACUCUUAAAAAGGCUGCAAGCGAAGAGAACGUACCUCAAUAUGAGGUUGCUUGCUAUUAUGAAAGCGAGGUGCACUUGGUGUGUAUACAUCAUCCAGUGAAUCCAAGCUUGCUUCCCUUCACAUAUGCACAAGAAGUGUACACAAAAAUCUAGCAAUCAAGGAACAUUUGACAAUCACAAUUAGACUAAGCAAGGAAGAUGUACCUGCACUGUAGCUAAAACACUAGAACAUAACUGCAUACUGUACCUGUCCCAUAGUUGAUUGACUUGAUUCUGUCAGAGCUAAACCUGCAUGCAUUUUGAUAAUAGUUAGACGAAAAAAAUAUUAUUUACAUAGCAUUCAUUUGAGUUACAGAAGCUAUGCAAAUCCAUGUUGGUUGCCUCAACGAUCAGGAAAUUUUCCAGUACUGCAGCCCCAUGGAAUGCAUUGUUAUAUAUAUGUUCUUUUUCAUGCCACGAAACUGCUGUUCAGAUAAACAACAAUGCAUCUUGUCAGAAAUGAGAAAAAAGAUUAGCUAGAGCAUCCUGAAUUACAUUUAAGAAUGUUCAGACCAAGCAAGACUAAUCAAAUAUGCCUUAUUGGUAUGGCAUUAUAUAGAGAUAUUAUGUAGUCACUGAAUAAACUACAAAUAAGUUCCAACUUAAGACUGCAAUUGUACCAGUGUAAAAGAGCAGUUUCCACAGACUAUAGAAUUGCAUGAGCAAUGGAUUACAUCAAAACAUUUCUGAUUAUUAGAUCACGCUUACGCACAAUA
Molecule: long non-coding RNA, 1822 nt
Organism: Triticum dicoccoides
Lineage: Eukaryota; Viridiplantae; Streptophyta; Magnoliopsida; Poales; Poaceae
Exons: 3
Source: RefSeq, a predicted model, not a curated record